This is a non-coding RNA of Microcebus murinus (gray mouse lemur), 5985 nucleotides long. NCBI's taxonomy places the organism in Eukaryota, Metazoa, Chordata, Mammalia, Primates, Cheirogaleidae. The record is from RefSeq and is a predicted model, not a curated record.
UCAAUAAAUAAAUAAAUAAAUGUUAGGCUAAAUUGAUAUCACAGGUGACGUCCUGGGGUUUAAUUCCAAGGAAAAAGAACAUUGGAGCAGAGGAGACCUCACACCCAGAGGCCCACAUCCUCACCUAGUUCUCUGUGGUGCCUCUCAGUCCUCAAAGCUGUGGCUAGGGUGGUCAUUUUGCCUGCAGCUCCUCAUUCCUUCCGUUGAGCUAGCACACCGGCUGACCUUGGGCCCAGCCUUCCCCUCCACCGCUGCUGAGCAUUCAUCCAUUCAACAGACGCUGACUGUGGACCUAUUAUGGGCUGGACACUUGUGAUAGAGCUGCUAACAACAGUCCCUGCCCUUUGAAGUUCAUAUAACCUGGUGGGGAAAACUGCUGAAUUCCAAGUUUGAGGUCAGCACGGGGUGCUUUGGAGAGAGGAGUCCAGUCAUGGGGGUGGGAGGAGCUCAUCAAGGGGGCGGUGCUCGCCCAGCUGGAGGAGGGAGCCUAGGGAUGCGGCCCACAGGAGGAGCUGGAGGACGUCAAGAGCAGCGGGCUGGAGCUGCCCAGGGAGGCCCCUGGGUCACCUUUCUGUCCAUGCGGUGUGCCCAGGCUAAAUACAGUGCAGGGCUCAGCUCUACCCACACAGGAGCCAUGGCCAGCUGUUCCCCAGGUCACCUUGGUUGUGGGCAGGCCAGGCCUUUGUUAGGGGCCAGGGGCCAGCUGCCACAUGGACCUCACCAGAUAGUGGUGAUCACCACGCCAGCCGCGGCCAGGCCCGUAUGAAGAAGCAUGACUGCGUCUGCAGGGUGUUUCCACACUGUCGCUCUGUUGUGUUCACCACGUGAGAACGCAGCGCAGGGUGCCCAGGGGAAGACUGGGGUGCACGCAUAUGCAACUAGAGAAGCGAAGUGCCUCCUCAGCCCUCAGCAUUCCCCACUGAGAUGCAGGGGAGUUUUAGGAUGUACUAUCUGCCUCCCGCCCCCAUGCCCUAGCUGUGUUCUUUUCCUUUCUAUUUUGGCACAGCUUACCUAGAAAAUGCUGCUAAAAAUAUGGGUGACAUCAUCAGAUGUAUUAUUGAUUUUGCUUUUGAAAAACUUGGGCUUCACUAAGUGUCCCCAUUUCUCUUGUAGUUUUCGGGAGAGAAGAAAACUGGUUGCUGUGGCCAGGUGACAACUCCUGCAACCAGGGCUGGAGAGCUGGGAGUGGGGCGUGUGGGUUGUCACCAGUGGUCAGGAGGUCCUGCGGUCAAUGCCAUGGGAACUCUAAGCUUGGCCCUGGGGUGAACCAGCCCAGUGGACUCAUUUCUUUGGCUUCCACUAUUCCCUCCCUGUAGCCUCCGUUUAAAACACCAGUCUCCUUGGGACGUCUAACUCAUGAAGUCCCAUAUCCCUCAGUGAGGUGCUCUGAGAGUUGCCUGGUUAGGGGUAGGGGUGGGUCCUCAGGAGGCCAAGAGUGAGCUGGGAAGGGCCUGCUGGGACAGACGGGCCUCAGGGUGAGCUGUGAAAGCAGGCAGGCCCACGUCCAGGCCUGGUUUGGGAGCCAGGGCCUGAGUUUUCUGCCUGGUGCCCCCCACCUGCAGUUUUUCAGUUCCCAGGCUUCAAAAGGCACGCGGGGCACCUGCAGGGCUGCCUGGGGGACCUUCAUGGUGCUGAGGCCUGUGCCUCCCAAAGCCCACCCUCGGAUAGCUCCACCCUAGCAGCCAAACCCGGCAGCUACGGAGGGCCACAGAGAAAAAGCCUAUUUGCUGUUCCUGGAGCACUUGUAACUUUUUUUUUUUUGGCUUCGGUUUCUUUAUCUGUCAAAUGAGGCACGUUCACACUGGAGCCCAGGUUAUUAUUUCUGAUCACCCACUAUCAUCACACCCCGUUUGUGUCUAAGGGUUUCCAUCCCAGGGUGGUGUGCAGAAAAUAGGGGUGAAGCUGGGUCAUUGGGCCUGUGCUCCCAUCUGAACUCUGUCACUUGGCAUUGUGGGGCUCAGGCCAAGCCACUCUGUGUUUCAAUUUUAUUUUACUCUCUCGUCUAUAAAAUGGGAUAAUAAUACCUACACGACCUAGACCGCACGUGAUUAUUGGAAGGUUCCCACGAGAUCAUAUAUGGGAAAGCGCUUUGUAAAAAGCAGAGUUAUGUCCGAAUAAGGGGUAUCAUUAGGUGGUAGCUGGAAGCUGUAAUUUAGGCCUGCCCCAUCGCCACGGCUGCCUCUGGGCGUUGCAAGCUGCUCUUUUAGGGGGUCUCUUGGGCUUGAGCAUAUGACUCCAUUCUGAGGAGGGCGGUCGGUAGGGCCCCCAUUUCUUCUUGCAUUCCUAGUCGUCUGGUGAUACAACCCAGGCCUCGCAGCAGGGUGGGCGCUGGCGAAAGCGUCCGCUAGGGCAGCUCUCUGAUUCGGAUGCCCCCUGACUGACGUCUCCGCCCCCGAAACCCACGCUCGCAGAAGCUGCGCCGGGCUCGCGCGCUCGCCCCCUCCUCUCUCGGGAAGGGCGUGGCACCGCCGGCGCCCGCUUCCCAGGCGCUGGGGGCGGCCUGGCCGGGCUGCUGCUGCCUGGGGAUGAAGGAGAUGAGGAGGAUGCUCUAACGGCCGCAUUCGGGCCUCAGGGACUCCUGAACGGGGGAAUGCCUGGGGCGGCGGCCCGAGAGACUUGGGGUGACCCGCCCUGCGGGCCGUUCUGGCCCCCGAGCCGGCUCCCUCUCCUGCCCAGGCGGGCGCGGCGCUCGCAGCCCUCCUUAUUCCGCCAGCCAGGGUGUUGGCGAGUUAGACCUCCCAGCCUCACGGGGCUGCUGUGCGGCUGCGGCGACGUCGGCGACUGCGGCGCCGCGGAGGAGACGGAGGGCCCGAGAGGCGGCGCCACGGACUCCUGAUUGCAGCUGCAAGUGCCCAUGACGGAGCUGGCGUCCUCCGGGGGCGGGUCCCCUGCGGGGGACGGGGAGGAGGGCCUGGGGGACGAUCGAGGCCUGGUCAUCCACCACCCUGCGGAGGAGCAGCCCCACCGCUGCCUGCUGUGUGGCCAGACCUUCUCGCAGCAGCCCAGCCUGGUGCGGCACCAGAAGGCGCACGGCGGGGCGGGCCGCGCGGCAGCCUUCGUGUGCCCCGAGUGUGGCAAGGCCUUCAGCGUCAAGCACAACCUCGAGGUGCACCAGCGCACGCACACCGGGGAGCGGCCCUUCCCCUGCCCCGACUGCGGCCGCUGCUUCAGCCUCAAGCAGAACCUGCUCACGCACCAGCGCAUCCACAGCGGCGAGAAGCCGCACCAGUGCGCGCAGUGCGGCCGCUGCUUCCGCGAGCCGCGCUUCCUGCUCAACCACCAGCGCACCCACGCGCGCAUGCCCGCGCCGCACCCGCGCCGCCCCGGCGUCUUCGGGGAGAGGCGGCCCUACUUCUGCCCCCGCUGUGGCAAGAGCUUCGCGCGCGAGGGCUCGCUCAAGACCCACCAGCGCAGCCACGGCCAUGGGCCCGAAGGCCAGGCUGCCCAUUUGGGCCGCGUGCUAUGAUGCGCGCCAGGCCCACCGCCGGCUGCUUCCUGCCUCUCAGAUGCGUCCGGACUCCUGGAGAUGGCCCUGGGCUGCAGCCCCCUGUCCAGAUAGGAUCCUGGGAGCGGGAGAGGGCUGGCUUGGGGUCUUGAAGCUGUGGACCACCAGGCUCAGGCUGCCCCUUUACGUUUCUCCCUCGGGACCCUCCGAGUGGCUGCAUGCAGCUGCUUUGGGCCCGUGCCCUGGUUUUCCUCCUCGGGCUGACCGGCCUAGAGCAGAUGCGGAGUGGGCAGGACCUUAUGACUCAGAAGGUGCAGGGCACAUCUGGGCCCAGAGACCAGGAAUGGGGUUCCACAGGGCUUGACUGGCACCACACCCCGGCAUGAGGACACAUCCCCUAAGCAGACCUGCCUUGGGAGGUGUCCUGCAGUGACCUGUGGAGGUGACAGGAUGGAGCUUGGAACUGGAGGCAGAUUCUGAGCCCUGUGGACAAACUCACCAGACCUGGUGGGAAUCACAGCCAGGGAAGACCUCAUCCUGGCUACCUGGCCAUGGGUCUCAACUCUCUUUGGUGGCAGGGACGACACCCGUGUGGAGAGCUGGCUUCUCUCCUCCCACCUGCCCACCACUUGGCCAAAGUUCAGGGACGGGAAGUGACUGGUCUAAGCUAACACAGCAAGGCAGUGGCAGUCCUGGCACUAAAGGCAAAACUUUGCCCCAGAUGCAAAUGACACCUGCAGGCUUCGUUUUCCUUUCUGAGCAGUGGCUCUUAACACUUUGGGGUCAUGAAACCCUUUGAAAAUCUGAUGGUUAUGGACUUGCCUCCCCACCCCAGGAAAACAGACAUACUCACCUAGAUUCAAAAAUCCCAAGCAAUUUCAAGAGGCCCUGGACUCCCUGGAUGAAACCCGUCCCCUGACUCCAGGAUGAGCACCUCAGCCCUGGGGGCUCCUUGUCUGUCACUCAUGGAGUCCUAAGUCCAGGCUGCUAUAAUAGUAGUGUUCCUCCUCCCCCGGCCAAGCCUGCUUCCCUCCUCCAGGAGCUAGGAAUUUAGUCAGUCCCUCCUUCCAGACCUAGCAGAUGAUGCAUCAGGGUGUGGACCUAAUUUCCCUUCCCUAGACACGAUGGAGUUUCCCUGCGCUGGCUUUGCUCUUCUUGUUUUUGUGUGUCUAACCUGCUGCUGGUUUUCACAAAGGAGCCCUUUGCUCCUGUCCUGGGCUCUGAUUUCUGUAUGAGGUCCCGAGAGGAUCUGGGCUGCCUAGCAUGUGUGCUGGCGGGAGUGAGUUUGAUCUGAGUCUGCCCCAGGGAGGAGAAAUCCUGCUUCCACCAGCCAAGCCCAGACAGUGGUGCCUCCUGUCCUACCAGCUGUUCCCCCCAGCCAGGUAUCACUCGGGAACAUUGGGGAGGAAGAGGAUGAGAGCUUUGCUCCAGGUGCCCGAGGCUCUGGGCAGGGGGUAAGCCCAGUGCAGUGGCUUUCUGUGUGCUCCCCGCCGCUGGCGGCACAAAUGGAGCCCAGGCUCAGGCUGGCAGCAGGACGGGGACUCCUCCUGUCUUUACACCUGCGAAGGUCGGCCCAGGGCCCACGAGUUCUCACCCCCUGCCCGAGAGAGAAAGCUGCCCAUCAGAAGAGGCAAAAGCAACCAGGGCAGGGAGGGUGCGGGUCAGGGCUGUGAAUCCUGCCCUGGGGUGUUGCUUGUCAUAUCUUCAAUGCAGUUUGGCCCAUAGGUCGGUACUGAUCACCUACCCUAUGCCAACCCCGGGUGCCAUGACAGAAUGCUCAGGGACAUCGGAGAAAGAGAAGGCACUGCCGGCCCAGGAGCUUGCACUCUGGGGAACCUUGGCCCACCUAGAGAAGCCUCUACAACACACCCUUUCUCUGCUAACUGUCCAGCUUGUGUCCUUCCUGCCUGUGACUGUGCUGUGCUCAUUCCUACCUCUGUACCUUCCCCUGUAUUGCUCUGAAAUGUCCCCUUCUCUGCAAGCCUUAUCUACCAGGGCCCAGCUUCCCGAACCACUGAGUCCACGGUCCUCCUUCCUUCUCUUAACAGUACCUGUAUUCACACACCAUCUUCCCCGCCCCCUAGAGUAUUGUGUGCUGUCUUAGCUUACACUCCAGUCUCCUCUGUGUGUCUGUCUGGAUCCCCAACUAGACUGUGAGCUCCAUGAGGGCAAGGACUGCAUCAUUUAUUCUCAAACCCCAACAGGGUCUAGCAUAGGGCUGGGCUCAUAACUCUCAGGAAACACUUGUCGACUGACUGAUGGAUCAAGUGCUGGAGGUCGUGGGGUGGCUGGUCCUGGGAGGUGUGCAAGGGGAGAGGGGGUGUGAGUUAACUAGGGGGUGCGUUUAACUGGGCUGUGGGCUGGCUCCCCUGGAUCAAUAAUGGGCGUCGGAGGUCUCAGGUCCUUCCCUGCUUGGGGCAGUGGGAGCUGAGGGAGCCCCCAUGGCUGUGCACAUACAUGCUCGUCCAGGCCGGGUAUUUGUGGAGGUCACUGACACCUGCCGCAGCUGACCGAGUGGGAUAAAUGUUCUCUUGACAUCA